UACGUAGGGUGCGAGCGUUAAUCGGAUUUACGGGGCGUAAAGCGUGCGCGGGCGGCCCGUUAAGACAGGUGUGAAAUCCCUGGGCUCAACCUAGGAAUUGCGCUUGUGACUGGCGGGCUCGAGUACGGUAGAGGGAGGUGGAAUUCCUGGUGUAGCAGUGAAAUGCGUAGAGAUCAGGAGGAACACCGAUGGCGAAGGCAGCCCCCUGGGCCUGUACUGACGCUCAUGCACGAAAGCGUGGGGAGCAAACAGG
Molecule: ribosomal RNA, 253 nt
Filed under: uncultured microorganism
Description: partial 16S ribosomal RNA
Rfam family: Bacterial small subunit ribosomal RNA
Source: RNAcentral